UGCACACCCACCCCAUUCCAGCAGACGCACACACGCCCCGCCCGAACAAGUCCACGAUGCCAGGCUGGACCUUCAGAGCACAGGAACCGCCCAAGGACACUUGCCUUGACUGGAACCCAAGCGGAGGCUGGGCAGAGCUAAUCGAACCUAGAAUGCAGAAACCGGCUGAGCGAUUCGAGGUGUGUUCACCAAUCGGACAGAAGCUCGACUAGAAGCUUCAGGGAAAAAAUGCAAAACCAAGCAAAUCCA
RNAcentral lists this long non-coding RNA (249 nucleotides) under Rattus norvegicus (Norway rat). Its description in RNAcentral is "long non-coding RNA NONRATT017188". The record is from RNAcentral. Lineage: Eukaryota; Metazoa; Chordata; Mammalia; Rodentia; Muridae.